AUCAAUAAAGGCAGAGAUUAAACACACAUGAUCUCGUCUGAUCUCAGAAGCUAAGCAGGGUCGGACCUGGUUAGUACUUGGAUGGGCGACCACCUAGGAAGACCAGGUGCUGUUGAUG
This 118-nucleotide ribosomal RNA is filed under the name Pteropus alecto (black flying fox). The record is from RNAcentral. Lineage: Eukaryota; Metazoa; Chordata; Mammalia; Chiroptera; Pteropodidae.